This is a long non-coding RNA of Callithrix jacchus (white-tufted-ear marmoset), 1413 nucleotides long. RefSeq lists it as uncharacterized. The record is from RefSeq and is a predicted model, not a curated record. NCBI's taxonomy places the organism in Eukaryota, Metazoa, Chordata, Mammalia, Primates, Cebidae.
CAGGGCUUCCACUCCUGAGAAGCAAAGGAAGGAAAUAGAAUUCUGGGAGGGAAAUAAGGAUGAAGAAAUUGAGUGAACCCAACUCCAUGUCAGGUUGAUUCAACUGAAACAUAGGUCAUGAUGCCAACCUCUAAGGUGAUAAAUGCCAUCUCACUAGAGAAGUGAAUUGAGGCUAGAGGGAACUUCUACAAUCAACGUGAGGCAGAUGAAGUCUCACUCUGUCACCAGGCUGGAGUGCAGUAGGGUGAUUUUGGCUCACUGAAACUUCCGCCUUCUGGGAUCAUGAGAUUCUCCUGCCUCAGCUUCCUGAGUAGCUGGGACUACAGGAGAUUUGUCCAGGACCCUGAAGUAGACACUUAAAACCACAGGGAGUACUGAAAUCUACAUGCACUAUAAGGCUUGUAAGCAGAAGUGACUUGCCUUGUCUCAGAUGAGACUUUGGACUUAUACUUUUGGGUUAAUGCUGAAAUGAGUUAAGACUUUGGGGGACUGUUUGGAAGGCAUGAUUGGUUUUGAAAUGUGAAAAGCACAUACAAUUUGAAAGGGGCCAGGGCAGAAUAAUAUGGUUUGUCUCUGUGUCCUCACCCAAAUCUCAUCACAGAUUAUAAUCUGCAUCUGUCAAGGGAGAAACCUGGUGGAAGAUGACUGGAUAUUGAGGGAGGUCUUUUCCAUGCUGUUCUCAUGAUAGUGAAGGAGUUCUUACAAAAUCCGAUUGUUUAAAACUGGCAGUUUCCCUUCUCUCCUGCUUCCAUGUAAGUUACACUUUGCUUUCCCUUAGCCUUCCACCAUGAUCAUGACUGUAAGUUUCCUGAGGCCUUCCAGCCAUAUGGAACUGUGAAUCAAUUAAACCUAUUUUCCUCAUAAGUUACCCAGUCUCAGGGUGCAUCUUUAUAACCAUGUGAAAAUUAAUACACAGAGCUUAGAAGAGCUCAAGUUAUUUCAUGUAUCUGUUAAUAUUACAUAUGUCUCAUAAAUUUAAUCAUUUUGAAAGGUAUAUAUGUAUGUGUGUAUCUAAAAUAAUUUUAGUUUAUACUUACCAUAUAACAUGAAAUUGAGUACAUUUUUGUACAUUUACUGGCCAUUUGGGUAUCUGCUUUUGUAGAUCUGCUUUUGUAUAAGGCAGGAGUCAACAGUAAUUUAUAUCACAAGAGUAUCCAAUUGACUAAGUGCCAUUUAUUGAAAAAUAUUAUCUUUUUAAAUAAAUCAACUAUUCAUAGAUGUCCAGGAUUAUUUCUGGACAACUUUUGUGGUUCCAUUAGCUUAGUCAUCUAUUCUUGUACCAAUACUACUGUUUUCCUUGCUAUAGUUUUAUAGUAAGUUUUGACACAUGGUAGCCUAAGUUCCACAAGGUUUUGAAUCUUCAAAUUGCCCUUCUUUAUUAGCUUAUUGCACUGCCACAUGUAUUUUAGUAUU